GUGGGGAAUAUUGGACAAUGGGCGAAAGCCUGAUCCAGCCAUGCCGCGUGUGUGAAGAAGGUCUUCGGAUUGUAAAGCACUUUAAGUUGGGAGGAAGGGUAGUAACCUAAUACGUUGCUACUUUGACGUUACCGACAGAAUAAGCACCGGCUAACUUCGUGCCAGCAGCCGCGGUAAUACGAAGGGUGCAAGCGUUAAUCGGAAUUACUGGGCGUAAAGCGCGCGGCGGUGGGUUUGUAAGUUGGAGGUGAAAUCGCCGGGGUCAAACUGGGAAAUGCCUCCAAAACUGGAGGAAUAGAGUACGGGAGAGGGGAGUGGAAUUUCCUGUGUAGCGGUGAAAUGCGUAGAUAUAGGAAGGAACACCAGUGGCGAAGGCGACUACCUGGACUGAUACUGACACUGAGGUGCGAAAGCGUGGGGAGCAAACAGGAUUAGAAACCCCGGUAGUCC
RNAcentral lists this ribosomal RNA (450 nucleotides) under uncultured bacterium. Its description in RNAcentral is "bacterial SSU rRNA". It matches the Rfam family "Bacterial small subunit ribosomal RNA", at positions 354 to 796 of the family's 1533-position model. The record is from RNAcentral.